UGCGGGAUGGCGCAGCCAGGAACAACGCGCACAGGUCCCAUGGUCCUGAGGUCCCGGGUUCAAAUCCCGGUCCCGCAUCCA
Molecule: transfer RNA, 81 nt
Filed under: Candidatus Bathyarchaeota archaeon
Lineage: Archaea; Thermoproteati; Candidatus Bathyarchaeota
Description: tRNA-Met
Rfam family: tRNA
About the family: Transfer RNA (tRNA) molecules are approximately 80 nucleotides in length.
Source: RNAcentral